AGUGAACGCUGGCGGUAGGCCUAACACAUGCAAGUCGAACGGCAGCACAGUAAGAGCUUGCUCUUACGGGUGGCGAGUGGCGGACGGGUGAGGAAUACAUCGGAAUCUACUUUUUCGUGGGGGAUAACGUAGGGAAACUUACGCUAAUACCGCAUACGACCUACGGGUGAAAGCAGGGGAUCUUCGGACCUUGCGCGAUUGAAUGAGCCGAUGUCGGAUUAGCUAGUUGGCGGGGUAAAGGCCCACCAAGGCGACGAUCCGUAGCUGGUCUGAGAGGAUGGUCGGCCACACUGGAACUGAGACACGCACCAGACUCCUACGGGAGGCAGCAGUGGGGAAUAUUGGACAAUGGGCGCAAGCCUGAUCCAGCCAUACCGCGUGGGUGAAGAAGGCCUUCGGGUUGUAAAGCCCUUUUGUUGGGAAAGAAAAGCAGCAGGUUAAUACCCCGCUGUUCUGACGGUACCCAAAGAAUAAGCACCGGCUAACUUCGUG
RNAcentral lists this ribosomal RNA (492 nucleotides) under uncultured bacterium. Its description in RNAcentral is "partial 16S ribosomal RNA". It matches the Rfam family "Bacterial small subunit ribosomal RNA", at positions 29 to 507 of the family's 1533-position model. The record is from RNAcentral.